AUCUCUGCGUGACUUCCGCCAGCGUUUAGAGCGUUUUCGGGGUCCGAGUUGAAGAGCAAAACCAAGUGAAGGAAACUUCACUAAGUUCAGGGUGACAAGGGAGGAAGUACAGAGUGAACUAUUGGCAUGGCUCAAUCCAUUGACCUGUUUUGGUUCCUGAUGAAGUUUUGUUAAUUUAAAUGAGAAAAAUAAGGACAGUGAAAAACAGAGCGCUUAAAAAGCACUGUCUGGAUAUCUUCAGAGGGAAAAAGGAGAAAGUUAACUGAAUUGGUGACACUUCGGGUCUCUCACAGAGGAAGAUUAGAUGAAGGUGACCUUCCCCUUCGCCAAGCAGAAUCUCCCAUGAGACUCAUGAAUCCUCUUGAGGCCAAUUACAGCUAUCACUUGUUAACUGUUGGAGUACUUUCAGUCUUAAAAGAGCUGCUAGAAAAUUAAGGCUGCAACAUGAAAGAAGAACAAAAUGGUCAGGCAUAUCACACGUUUUUAUCAAAUGAUUUGGUUUAGGACUUGAUAACCUGGUUAGUACUUGAGCACUGAAAGAUAUUUUGAAUUUAAAGUAAGAUGGAGAAAGUGAUGGAAGCUAAAUCACAGAGGA
RNAcentral lists this long non-coding RNA (595 nucleotides) under Homo sapiens (human). Its description in RNAcentral is "non-protein coding lnc-RGS5-1:24". The record is from RNAcentral. Lineage: Eukaryota; Metazoa; Chordata; Mammalia; Primates; Hominidae.